RNAcentral lists this non-coding RNA (113 nucleotides) under Cellulomonas sp. RNAcentral's name for it is "SAM-I sequence". It matches the Rfam family "SAM riboswitch aptamer (S box leader)". From Rfam's summary of the family: The SAM riboswitch is found upstream of a number of genes which code for proteins involved in methionine or cysteine biosynthesis in Gram-positive bacteria. The SAM riboswitch acts at the level of transcription termination control. The record is from RNAcentral. Lineage: Bacteria; Bacillati; Actinomycetota; Actinomycetes; Micrococcales; Cellulomonadaceae.
CCACCAUCCAGAGCGGCCGAGAGAUCUGGCUCGACGACGCCGCAGCAACCCGCGGUCCCUGCCUCACGAGGCGGGCGACCGGCCGAGGGUGCUACCGCCAGGACCGAUGGAGG